RNAcentral lists this ribosomal RNA (598 nucleotides) under uncultured bacterium. RNAcentral's name for it is "bacterial SSU rRNA". It matches the Rfam family "Bacterial small subunit ribosomal RNA", at positions 788 to 1386 of the family's 1533-position model. The record is from RNAcentral.
UGGUAGUNCACGCCGUAAACGAUGAGUGCUAGGUGUUAGACCCUUUCCGGGGUUUAGUGCCGCAGCUAACGCAUUAAGCACUCCGCCUGGGGAGUACGACCGCAAGGUUGAAACUCAAAGGAAUUGACGGGGGCCCGCACAAGCGGUGGAGCACGUGGUUUAAUUCGAAGCAACGCGAAGAACCUUACCAGGUCUUGACAUCCCUCUGACCGCUCUAGAGAUAGAGUUUUCNUUCGGGACAGAGGUGACAGGUGGUGCAUGGUUGUCGUCAGCUCGUGUCGUGAGAUGUUGGGUUAAGUCCCGCAACGAGCGCAACCCCUAUUGUUAGUUGCCAUCAUUCAGUUGGGCACUCUAGCGAGACUGCCGGUAAUAAACCGGAGGAAGGUGGGGAUGACGUCAAAUCAUCAUGCCCCUUAUGACCUGGGCUACACACGUGCUACAAUGGCUGGUACAACGAGUCGCAAGCCGGUGACGGCAAGCUAAUCUCUUAAAGCCAGUCUCAGUUCGGAUUGUAGGCUGCAACUCGCCUACAUGAAGUCGGAAUCGCUAGUAAUCGCGGAUCAGCACGCCGCGGUGAAUACGUUCCCGGGCCUUGUNC